GGUUCCAAGACCCCGUCCAGAUAACAAAAUCUGAGCAUGCUCGAGUCUCUCACUUACAGUGACCUAGUGUUGCCUAUAGCCUGUGCGCACCGUCCUGUAUGUGCUAAUCCUCUGCAAACAGUAGUUUUACUGUAUCGUUUAGGGAAUAAUGAGAAGAAAAGGUCUGAGUCUGUUUGCUUUCAUCCUGAUUAUUUUGUAUUUGCAGAUGGCUAAGUCUGCGGGUGCCGAAGCUGCAGAUCCAGAGGGCUGAUAAUAGAGAUGGAAGAGGAGAGUCUAAGCUUCUGGCAGAGACUCCACCUUGGCACUCCAGACAGUCACUGGCUGACAGACACUUGGACUUAGAAUGCAUUGGGGGAGGCAUAAAGGGCAUCAAGGAUGGCUGGUGACAACGGAUGUGGAAAGGACUGAGAAUCAAAUGUACACACCCACCAAACUCAGCCGGCACGGAUCUCUCAUUUUCCCCCCGAGCUGGAUCUUCUCAACGCCCGUGACCACUCCAGCACCUCCAGGAUCAGAGAGGAAGGCUCAAGCUGGUGAGAUGGCUUUGUGGGUAAAGCUGCCUGCCCUAAGCCGGAAGACCAGGACCAACGUAGUGGAAGGAGAGUCGCCUCCCACGUGCUUGCUAAGGUGUGGGCACAUGGCCAUACAUGCAUGUUCAAACGCAGAUAAAUAUCGUUACAGCUAUCUCUAAAAAUGAGGAGUCUCCAUCGCAUCUGAGGUUAAACAAGAAAGCAGGUGAUGGGGUUUAAUAGUCAUGCAAAUGUCAGAUACCUCUUGAAUUUGAGAAAAACCCACAAGUCCAGCUUAACGCGGCAGUGGAUCAAUAAGUAUGCAUUGUUGAGCACCUAAUGUAUACCAAGUGAGCAAUCAAGGUGGAAAAAAACUGAUGUAAGACAGUCUGGAUGCAAAGGCCACUUGUGCCACCCAUGAGGGCCACGGUAGGCAUAGUACCUUAUGUAUAAAGAGAUAGAAUAGUGCCUGACCACACAGGGCGGGUGUGAGAACGCAGUGCAGCCAUUUAUGUGAAGAUCCCACCUUGGUUCCAUUUCUGUGGCUGUAACAAAAAUACAAUAAAAAGAAGCUUGUGGGAGAAAGGGGCUUCUUAUCUGCUGGCAUUUCCAGAUUACAGUCCACCAUGGAGGGAAAGUCAAGGCAGGAACUUCGAACAGCCAGUCAUAUCACCGUCGAGGGCAGAGAGAAACAAAUGCAGAUGGGCUCCCUCGUGGCUUGCUUCUGCUCAGCUCCAUGUUUCCACUCUUGACAGUUCAGGACCCCCCUGCCUAGGGAAUGGUGCUGCCCACAGUGGACAGGGUCUUCCUAUAUCAGUUAAGACAAUCUCCCCUGGACAUGCCCGGAGGCCAACCCAACGUGAUCAUCCCUCAUUGAGACUCUUACCAGUGAUUCUCAGUUGUUUCAAAUUGACAAUUAAAACUAAGUAUAACAGCCCCAGCGGAGGUGGUAGCACACGCCUUUAAUCCCAGCACUCAGGAGGCAGA
Molecule: non-coding RNA, 1496 nt
Organism: Peromyscus maniculatus bairdii (prairie deer mouse)
Lineage: Eukaryota; Metazoa; Chordata; Mammalia; Rodentia; Cricetidae
Source: RefSeq, a predicted model, not a curated record